This 288-nucleotide unclassified non-coding RNA is filed under the name fungal sp. RNAcentral's name for it is "partial internal transcribed spacer region". The stretch from base 1 to 46 matches the Rfam family "Eukaryotic small subunit ribosomal RNA", at positions 1786 to 1831 of the family's 1831-position model. Lineage: Eukaryota; Fungi. The record is from RNAcentral.
AAGUCGUAACAAGGUUUCCGUAGGUGAACCUGCGGAAGGAUCAUUAAAAAUUGAGGAAUUUACCGUGUGCAAAGGUUGUGGUGGGGAUUGAUAUGAUUGGCUUGUGAUUUUUAUUGUGAUUGAUGUGUUAGUUUAUGUUAACCGAUUUAUAUUUAACUCGUUUUUUAUUAUACUUCAAUCUGUCAAUGUCAAUCUGCCAAUCAGUUCAUUUUUCCUAUCCAAUCAUAUAUACUAUUCGUCAAAUCAUAAAAAUAAUAAUAAUUUGCGGCAAUGGAUCUCUAGGCUCUU